Molecule: long non-coding RNA, 2324 nt
Organism: Planococcus citri (citrus mealybug)
Lineage: Eukaryota; Metazoa; Arthropoda; Insecta; Hemiptera; Pseudococcidae
Exons: 4
Source: RefSeq, a predicted model, not a curated record
AAUUUCAUUGAUAAAAUUCCUGUUUUUAUUGGACCACCCAACUAAAAAAAAAUUGUAGAAAAAAUUGAAAGAAUUGAAAAUUUUUUGAAUUUUGAAAACUUUGAGCUCAAGUUACGGGAGGAGAGAAGGGCAAACGUUGACCAAAAAAUCCAAAAUUUUUCUGUGUCUUAUUGAGGUCAUUUGGCAAUGAUUUUUUGCUAGGUACAUUAAAACUUGAAAAAAAUUAAAAAACGACCCAUCCUAGGGUACACCAAAAAAAAAAAAAAAAAAACCAAAAAAAACUUCUAAAAUUCUUAAAUCUUGACCGUUCAUUACCAAAGAGCCAAAAGGCAACCAAACUAUACGAGAAUGUGCUGAUAGAAUUAUACAUACAUAAUUAAGAUUGGCUAGUCACAGUGAAUGACAAUAAUAGUAGCACAUGUUGUUGUUGUUAGACUGAGAUGAUAAGGUGAUAACAUUCCAACAAUCGUGAGGUUUCAUUUCGUGAUGCUAACCCGUAUUUUCAACAAAAAACUUUCUUCAGCAGGGUAUUCGGUGUUUCUGCGCACCCUGUACCUACACUAGUUAACGUACUUACGUAUAUCUAAUUAACCUACCUAUACAGGGUGUCCGGGGAGUGGUAGUACAAACUUCGGAUUUGGAUAUGACCGGGUAUAUAGGCCUACGAGUAAAAAAACGUAAGAUGUACAAGUUGCCUAUCUUGAAAAUCAAAGGAGCAAAAUACGUUUUCAAAAUCUAGAGCAAAAAUCCAAUUUUGACCAUAGGGGUCAGUAGUAUUUUGAAAAAUGAACAAAAUUACCAGUUAUGACUUUUUGUCCAACUUGCAAACUGAAGGGGCCACAAUCAAUGAUUUUCAAUUUCAAAAAAUCGCGGUGAAAAAAAUUAAUGCAGAAAUAAGUACUACGUACGUACUACUUACUACUUACUUAGUUCAAAAAAUAAACAAAUUUUAUUAUGGCCACUAAUGGGACCCCUAUGGUUUCAAUUCACCACUGGUUUUUUUCUACAGAAAUGUAUUUCAAAUUAAUUGAAAGUGGAAGAUUUUGAUUACUUUCCAAAAAAAAUUAGCAUCAACAAAGUUGGUGGUAACUUGCAUAGGUAGAUUAGUAUUAUGCAAUACAUAACUAAAUUAGGUAUUUUUUUUGCUGGCACUUGCACUCUCACACAAUAAAGUUUCCAGUUGUCUGGAGCAAUCUUCAUGAAGGAGUGAGAGAGACAGCCUGAAAUGGGAUACAUAAAGGAAUGAGAAAGAUAGCACUGAUUGCAUAAGGUAAUGGAGUUUAACAUUGACAGACUAUGCAACAAAAUUAGCUAUUUUUUUGGCAAUAUAACUUUGAUAUUAUACAGUCUCAAGUACAUUUUUUAUUUCAAAACAGGAUGGAAAAUGGGUAUCUAUAAAGAAUAAAAUUGUGUGGACAAAGUAUAGUGCAGUUUUCUUGUUUUCCAUUGCGUGAUGUACGAAUUACUUUUACAUAGGUAUAAGACUAAAGUUGAUGGUACUUCAUUUAUAUAUAGUAGAAGCUUAUUUGGAAAAGCAACCUACACAUGAAAUCAACUUAGCCAAAUUUACGCUUGAUUUGAACCACCCGGGUGAUCAAAAAUUCCAACUUGUAGACGAAAUAAUUGAAUCAAAUUUGAGUGAAAUAGUUUCGCACUUUGCAUUUGAAUCUACUUCAGUCACCGAGGAGAAAUUGACAAUAAGGAUCAAUUUCAGCAGAGUUUCUGGACAGUGUACAGGAAUGAAGUGCAGCAAAUAAAAAUGGCAUCAGGUCUUGUUGAUAUUGUAAAAAAGCUGGGUUAGGGGACAGCCCAAAAUUUCACCAGCCUUACAAAGCUAGAGAAAGGAGUCAUCCGCACAGUGACUGAGAUGUCAAGGAAAUAAUAUAAAGGCGAGGAAAACGCCCAAUUUAAUUCCGUCCAAUUAUUUUUGGACGGAGAAACGAGAACGUCGAGAACUAAUUUAUCUCAAAGAAUAUCUGAGGUGUUACCAGCAGCUACUGAAGAAGAUUUCGAAGAUUUCAAGUCUACUCACAAAUUCUUCAUACAUGAAGGAAUGCACGGAAAAUGGUCCCUAGUUUCAUUUCCAAUGGUAGAGGCUUGCAAUGGGUGUCUGUGUGAAGAAUGUAAAGAAUGUAGCUGUGGGGAAAGUGAAGAAGUAUGCCCCUGUUACAUGAAACACAAACUACACAAUCCAAUGUUGUUUAAAGAAGUUGUUGCUCAAAAAAUCAUGAGAAAAUUUCAAAAUGUUGGAAAUCUUACUGCAUUAUUGAAUAAAAUGUCAUUGUAAGUGUGACAUGUGAGAAACAAUAAACUGACAAAACCUA